This is a long non-coding RNA of Morus notabilis, 507 nucleotides long. RefSeq lists it as uncharacterized. NCBI's taxonomy places the organism in Eukaryota, Viridiplantae, Streptophyta, Magnoliopsida, Rosales, Moraceae. The transcript has 4 exons. The record is from RefSeq and is a predicted model, not a curated record.
GGAAUGCUACGUUUGACUACUAUCAGAAGAUCAAUGUCAAGCAGGCGUAUUACAUUUCAAUGGAGUAUUUGCAGGGUAGAGCAUUGCUGAAUGCGGUUGGUAAUUUGGAGCUCUCAGGAGCUUAUGCGGAGGCUUUGAAAUAGUUGGGCUACAAUCUAGAAGAUGUAGCUCGGCAGGUCAAUGGAACUAGACGCUGCGCUUGGGAAUGGGGGACUAGGACGGCUUGCUUCUUGCUUUCUGGACUCCUUGGCACCGCUCAAUUACCCUGCAUGGGGAUAUGGACUACGAUACAAGUAUGGCUUGUUUAAACAACUCAUUACUAAAGAUGGCCAGGAGGAAGUUGCUGAAAAUUGGCUUGAGAUGGGCAAUCCGUGGGAGAUUGUAAGGAAUGAUAUCAGCUAUCCUUGGUGAAGUCAUUUUAGGGCCAGAUGGAAAUAAACAAUGGGUGGGAGGAGAAGAUAUGAUCGCUGUUGCCUAUGAUGUUCCAAUACCCGGAUACAAAACAAA